This 458-nucleotide ribosomal RNA is filed under the name uncultured bacterium. RNAcentral describes it as "partial 16S ribosomal RNA". It matches the Rfam family "Bacterial small subunit ribosomal RNA", at positions 338 to 795 of the family's 1533-position model. The record is from RNAcentral.
CCUACGGGAGGCUGCAGUGAGGAAUAUUGGUCAAUGGGCGAGAGCCUGAACCAGCCAAGUCGCGUGAGGGAGUACUGCCCUAUGGGUUGUAAACCUCUUUUGUCGGGGAGCAAAAGCCGGACGUGUCCGGCUGUGAGAGUAACCGAAGAAAAAGCAUCCGCUAACUCCGUGCCAGCCGCCGCGGUAAUACGGGGGAUGCGAACGUUAUCCGGGUUUAUGGGGUUUAAAGGGGGCGCAGGCGGAUUUUUUAGUCAGCGGUAAAAACGUGGGGCUCAACCCCAUCCAGCCGUUGAAACUGGGGAUCUAGAGUGUGCGAGAGGUAGGCGGAAUGCGUGGUGUAGCGGUGAAAUGCAUAGAUAUCACGCAGAACCCCGAUUGCGAAGGCAGCAUACCGGUGCACAACUGACGCUCAGGCACGAAAGCGUGGGUAUCGAACAGGAUUAGAUACCCCUGUAGUC